Hyla sarda is the source of this 750-nucleotide long non-coding RNA. RefSeq lists it as uncharacterized. The transcript is spliced from 5 exons. The record is from RefSeq and is a predicted model, not a curated record. NCBI's taxonomy places the organism in Eukaryota, Metazoa, Chordata, Amphibia, Anura, Hylidae.
CUCAGUUCCUGUGAAGCCCUGCCCCUUUAUCUCCAAGCCCCACCCACCUGGGUGGUCACAGAUCAGGCAAAAGUCACAAACUUUUGCACAAAUCAGCGAAGUUCAAAAAUGCCUACGAUGUUCUUAAGCUCCACUCGGAUGCCUCCAUGGAGACAUUAAGCCGAAAGAAAACCUAUAGACGCUCCAUACAGUUCCUCACCACAGGCCUUCACAAGCACGGCUCACGCACAUCCCACAGAGCUCUUUAAUGAAGGUCGGGCUGGAUGUUGUGGACAGACAAAUACUAUUAUGUCUGAAACUAUUCUAAUGACAAGAACUCUGCUCUGAUUUUAACCCCAGCAUUUAUGGCACUUUGAAAUAACAGUAAAGUGUAAUGCGAUAUCACAACUUAUCACUGAGAGUAAAUAACAGACUCAUAUAGAGGGAUAGAUGACCCUGCCCCCGAGGACCUACAACUCACAAAGGCUUCAACCACGGAACAGCCUUCAGGUUUGAUAACAUCUGCUACAGCUACAACAAAUACCCCAAAAAUGAGUGUGAAGUCUGAUGAAUGUUUAAACAGAAGAAUUUUUUUUUUAUGGAUCAGCUAAAUCUUUUCUGCUUUUUAAUUAAAAGUAAAGAAAAUGGAACUUAAUUAUCCUGUAAAGAUUAGCUUGUGGGCAUCUUUCUGUAAAUUACUUCUAAUUGAAAGCAAAUCGUCAAAUGACAUUCAAAGUACUGUCCUUUAAAACGCAGCUGUUCAAUUGCUGA